Molecule: ribosomal RNA, 1075 nt
Filed under: Stigonema ocellatum CBFS A-032
Lineage: Bacteria; Bacillati; Cyanobacteriota; Cyanophyceae; Nostocales; Stigonemataceae
Description: bacterial SSU rRNA
Rfam family: Bacterial small subunit ribosomal RNA
Source: RNAcentral
CGAAAGCCUGACGGAGCAAUACCGCGUGAGGGAGGAAGGCUCUUGGGUCGUAAACCUCUUUUCUCAGGGAAGAAUAAAUGACGGUACCUGAGGAAUCAGCAUCGGCUAACUCCGUGCCAGCAGCCGCGGUAAUACGGAGGAUGCAAGCGUUAUCCGGAAUGAUUGGGCGUAAAGCGUCCGCAGGUGGCAUUGAAAGUCUGCUGUCAAAGAGUCUGGCUCAACCAGAUAAAGGCAGUGGAAACUACAAAGCUAGAGUGCGUUUGGGGCAGAGGGAAUUCCUGGUGUAGCGGUGAAAUGCGUAGAGAUCAGGAAGAACACCGGUGGCGAAAGCGCUCUGCUAGGCCGUAACUGACACUGAGGGACGAAAGCUAGGGGGGCGAAUGGGAUUAGAUACCCCAGUAGUCCUAGCCGUAAACGAUGGAUACUAGGUGUUGCUUGUAUCGACCCGAGCAGUACCGUAGCUAACGCGUUAAGUAUCCCGCCUGGGGAGUACGCAGGCAACUGUGAAACUCAAAGGAAUUGACGGGGGCCCGCACAAGCGGUGGAGUAUGUGGUUUAAUUCGAUGCAACGCGAAGAACCUUACCAGGGCUUGACAUGUCGCGAAUCUCAGGGAAACUUGAGAGUGCCUUCGGGAGCGCGAACACAGGUGGUGCAUGGCUGUUGUCAGCUCGUGUCGUGAGAUGUUGGGUCAAGUCCCGCAACGAGCGCAACCCUCGUUUUUAGUUGCCAUCAUUAAGUUGGGCACUCUAGAGAGACUGCCGGUGACAAACCGGAGGAAGGUGGGGAUGACGUCAAGUCAGCAUGCCCCUUACGUCCUGGGCUACACACGUACUACAAUGCUACGAACAGAGGGCAGCAAGCUAGCGAUAGCAAGCUAAUCCCGGAAAUCGUAGCUCAGUUCAGAUCGCAGGCUGCAACUCGCCUGCGUGAAGUUGGAAUCGCUAGUAAUUGCAGGUCAGCAUACUGCAGUGAAUUCGUUCCCGGGCCUUGUACACACCGCCCGUCACACCAUGGAAGCUGGUAGUGCCCGAAGUCAUUACCCCAACUUCCGAGAGGGGGAUGCCUAAGGCAGGA